UACAGUGGGUGCGAGCGUUAUUCGGAAUUACUGGGCGUAAAGCGCGUGUAGGUGGUUUUGUAAGUCUGGCGUGAAAGCCCACGACUCAAUCGUGGAAGUGCGCUCGAUACUGCAAGACUAGAGUACAGGAGAGGUGAACGCAAUUCCUGGUGUAGAGGUGAAAUUCGUAGAUAUCAGGAGGAACAACGGAGGCGAAAGCGGUUCACUGGACUGUCACUGACACUGAGUCGCGACAGCGUUGGUAGCGAACGGG
Molecule: ribosomal RNA, 253 nt
Filed under: uncultured bacterium
Lineage: Bacteria
Description: partial 16S ribosomal RNA
Rfam family: Bacterial small subunit ribosomal RNA
Source: RNAcentral